Molecule: non-coding RNA, 79 nt
Organism: Podarcis lilfordi (Lilford's wall lizard)
Lineage: Eukaryota; Metazoa; Chordata; Lepidosauria; Squamata; Lacertidae
Source: the annotation of a GenBank genome assembly
GGGCCAUAGAUCAGUGGUAGAGCAUCAGUUUUGCAUGCAGAAGAUUCCCAGGUUCAAUCCCCAGGUCAAGCUGGCAACG